RNAcentral lists this ribosomal RNA (253 nucleotides) under uncultured bacterium. RNAcentral's name for it is "partial 16S ribosomal RNA". It matches the Rfam family "Bacterial small subunit ribosomal RNA", at positions 524 to 776 of the family's 1533-position model. The record is from RNAcentral.
UACAGAGGGGGCAAGCGUUAUUCGGAAUUAUUGGGCGUAAAGGGCGCAUAGGCGGCCUGGCAAGUGGAAGGUGAAAUCCCUCGGCUUAACCGAGGAACUGCCCUCCAAACUGCUUGGCUUGAGACCGGGAGAGGUGAGUGGAAUUCCCAGUGUAGCGGUGAAAUGCGUAGAUAUUGGGAGGAACACCAGUGGCGAAGGCGGCUCACUGGACCGGUACUGACGCUGAGGCGCGAAAGCGUGGGGAGCAAACAGG